Molecule: ribosomal RNA, 403 nt
Filed under: Fusobacteriota bacterium
Lineage: Bacteria; Fusobacteriati; Fusobacteriota
Description: Fusobacteria bacterium partial 16S ribosomal RNA
Rfam family: Bacterial small subunit ribosomal RNA
Source: RNAcentral
UGGGGAAUAUUGCACAAUGGCGGGAACUCUGAUGCAGCGACGCCGCGUGAACGAAGAAGGCUUUCGAGUCGUAAAGUUCUUUCAUAUGGGAAGAUAAUGACGGUACCAUAAGAAAACGCCCCGGCUAACUACGUGCCAGCAGCCGCGGUAAUACGUAGGGGGCUAGCGUUGUCCGGAAUCACUGGGCGUAAAGGGUUCGCAGGCGGAAAUGCAAGUCAGGUGUAAAAGGCAGUAGCUUAACUACUGUAAGCAUUUGAAACUGCAUAUCUUGAGAAGAGUAGAGGUAAGUGGAAUUUUUAGUGUAGCGGUGAAAUGCGUAGAUAUUAAAAAGAAUACCGGUGGCGAAGGCGACUUACUGGGCUAAUUCUGACGCUGAGGAACGAAAGCGUGGGUAGCAAACAGG